RNAcentral lists this ribosomal RNA (253 nucleotides) under uncultured bacterium. Its description in RNAcentral is "partial 16S ribosomal RNA". It matches the Rfam family "Bacterial small subunit ribosomal RNA", at positions 524 to 776 of the family's 1533-position model. The record is from RNAcentral.
UACGUAGGGAGCAAGCGUUGUCCGGAAUCAUUGGGCGUAAAGAGCGUGUAGGCGGCUAGGUAGGUGGGUUGUGAAAACUGGAGGCUCAACCUUCAGACGUCGACCCAAACCCCCUGGCUAGAGUCCGGAAGAGGAGAGUGGAAUUCCUGGUGUAGCGGUGGAAUGCGCAGAUAUCAGGAGGAGCACCAAUAGCGAAGGCAGCUCGCUGGGACGUUACUGACACUGAGGCGCGAAAGCGUGGGGAGCGAACAGG